UACAGAGGUCUCGAGCGUUGAUCGGAAUUAUUGGGCUUAAAGGGUGCGUAGGCGGUCCUGUCAGUGCCUUGUGAAAUCCCAUGGCUCAACCAUGGAAUUGCUCGGUAGACCACAGACUUGAGGUCGGUAGGGGUCGCUGGAACUCUAGGUGGAGCGGUGAAAUGCGUAGAUAUCUAGAGGAACGCCAAAGGUGAAGACAGGGCGACUGGGCCGAUUCUGACGCUGAGGCACGAAGCGUGGGUAGC
This 245-nucleotide ribosomal RNA is filed under the name uncultured bacterium. RNAcentral's name for it is "partial 16S ribosomal RNA". It matches the Rfam family "Bacterial small subunit ribosomal RNA", at positions 524 to 769 of the family's 1533-position model. The record is from RNAcentral.